CUUGAUCGAGCCCAGGAGCAGCGGCCGAUCCGCCGGGCGCCCCGCACCGUAGGUCGCGAGCAGCGCCUGCGCCUC
Molecule: antisense RNA, 75 nt
Filed under: Cryptosporangium arvum DSM 44712
Lineage: Bacteria; Bacillati; Actinomycetota; Actinomycetes; Cryptosporangiales; Cryptosporangiaceae
Description: ASpks TB sRNA
Rfam family: ASpks TB sRNA
Source: Rfam by way of RNAcentral